AUCUGGAGAGGUUUCCUGGGAGACAGGAAGGUGUAAUGAGAGUAGUUUAGUGCUUAAUCGGGGUUUCUCGAGCGGCAUCUCGAACUACUCCAAUUAACUUCGCGCGCCAACCCCGAUUGCCGUUAGAUUCAAGGGUAAAUCCGUGUGAUAUUGAUUAAAUUUCGAAUGGGCAACGAAGGAGUCAGCCAACUUUUCUUUAAUACUCGUUGGCGGUAGUGAAGUGUCGUUUGGAUAAUUAAUCAGUGAAAACGUCGACGGACGUUCGAUGAAGCUUCUAUCCCGUGGAGUGGGGGAUUGCGGUUUAAUCGAUCAACGAAAAGCGAAUUAAUCUAAGUGAAAUUGCACCUAUGAAUCGUUGCAUCGAAUUUAGAUAACCGGUGGCAUUCUCGAUUAAACGGGAUGUCAAUGACGCGCGAAGUGUUAAUUAGGCACUGCUGCUCUCUGGUGGUGGUUUUGGCCGAAUAUCAUUUCGGAUUGAAUUGAAUUAUAUUCGUUGCGGGAUUACGCGCUUUGGAAAUUGAUAUUUUCGAACAAAAAGAGGAGUGUGGUUACGUUUGAAGUAAAAAGUAUUUGUGCUUCAAUGGUGGCUUUCAGACAUCAGUCGGUUUGACGCGAUAAAAAAUAAAAUAUCGUUUCGCGAAUAGAUUUCUAACCUCUUUACGUUCUAACCUCUAAUCUUAUAAAGUGGUGGUAUAAUAUACUAUUGUAUGAUUAGAUUUCUUAGAUCUCAAAUUAGAUCGUGAUAUCUAUAUUUUCGGCAUUGGUUCGAAUUUGACAGUGGUGGAAAUAAAAAUAUUAUUUUCAAAGUUUUUUUUCAGUUUUGUGAAGCGUGGAAUGAAAUUAGUUCGAACGAAGACGAGUUUGAUUUUUCGUUAUUAAAUAACGAAUUUAUUUCUAUUCGUUAAGAAAUUGACGAUAGAGAAUAGCGAUGAAAAUAGAGAUGUAAAAUAAGAAAGAAAGGUGAAAAACUUCAAACGACAUUUUAUCGCUAUAUACUUGUCCUGACAAAUCGAGGAUGUAUCUUGAUUCUACCGAUGGUUGGAAUAAUUAAUUCAAGUCACAACUACCAACAUUUUCAAUUUGGGAUUUUUUAAAUCUAUUGAAUCAAACGAUACGAAGUUUCGUCGAACACAAUUGAUGAAUUGAAUGCGUUCAAGAUACAUUUAAUAAAUUAGAGAAAGAUACUCUUGAUAACAUUACAAACGUGUAUGGAAUUAAUUAUGUCGACAGGAGGAGGAAAUUCCUAUAAAAUUCCUCAUAUAAAUAAGAUUUCUUUUUCGCAUAAAUGUAUACCAUAUUUUCGGACAAAGGAAGUAUAAGAUAACGAAGAAAUUAUUGAGAAAACAAAAUGUUAAUGAAUAUUAUUCGUAUAUAAAUUUGGAUGAAUAAUAAAUAUUCAU
Molecule: long non-coding RNA, 1400 nt
Organism: Apis mellifera (honey bee)
Lineage: Eukaryota; Metazoa; Arthropoda; Insecta; Hymenoptera; Apidae
Exons: 3
Source: RefSeq, a predicted model, not a curated record